Molecule: ribosomal RNA, 325 nt
Filed under: uncultured eukaryote
Lineage: Eukaryota
Description: partial 18S ribosomal RNA
Rfam family: Eukaryotic small subunit ribosomal RNA
Source: RNAcentral
CCCUUAGAUGUCCUGGGCCGCACGCGCGCUACACUGACAUGUUCAACAAGCCUCCUAGUUCGACAGGAUUUGGGAAAUCUUUGAACGCAUGUCGUGAUAGGGAUAGAUCAUUGCAAUUAUUGAUCUUGAACGAGGAAUUCCUAGUAAACGCGAGUCAUCAGCUCGCAUUGAUUACGUCCCUGCCCUUUGUACACACCGCCCGUCGCUCCUACCGAUUGAAUGAUCCGAUGAAUAUCAUGGAUUGAGGAUUAUAGCAGGUUCGCCUGUCUUGAUCUUCGAGAAGUGAAGUAAAUCUUAUCAUUUAGAGGAAGGAGAAGUCGUAACA